Molecule: non-coding RNA, 60 nt
Organism: Biomphalaria glabrata
Lineage: Eukaryota; Metazoa; Mollusca; Gastropoda; Planorbidae
Source: Rfam
AUGGCUGAGUGGUAAAGCACUUGGCUUCCGAACCGGUGGGUCCCUGGUUCGAAUCCUGGU